UACAGAGGUCCCGAGCGUUGUUCGGAUUCAUUGGGCGUAAAGGGUGCGCAGGUGGCGGGGCAAGUCUGAUGUGAAAUCCCGGGGCUCAACUCCGGAACUGCAUUGGAUACUGCUUUGCUGGAGUACUGGAGAGGAGACUGGAAUUUACGGUGUAGCAGUGAAAUGCGUAGAGAUCGUAAGGAAGACCAGUGGCGAAGGCGAGUCUCUGGACAGUUACUGACACUGAGGCACGAAGGCCAGGGGAGCAAACGGG
RNAcentral lists this ribosomal RNA (253 nucleotides) under uncultured bacterium. RNAcentral describes it as "partial 16S ribosomal RNA". It matches the Rfam family "Bacterial small subunit ribosomal RNA", at positions 524 to 776 of the family's 1533-position model. The record is from RNAcentral.